UACGUAGGGUGCAAGCGUUAAUCGGAAUUACUGGGCGUAAAGCGUGCGCAGGCGGUUUUGUAAGUCUGUCGUGAAAGCCCCGGGCUCAACCUGGGAAUUGCGAUGGAGACUGCAAGGCUAGAGUGUGUCAGAGGGGGGUAGAAUUCCACGUGUAGCAGUGAAAUGCGUAGAUAUGUGGUGGAACACCGAUGGCGAAGGCAGCCCCCUGGGAUAACACUGACGCUCAUGCACGAAAGCGUGGGGAGCAAACAGG
Molecule: ribosomal RNA, 253 nt
Filed under: uncultured bacterium
Lineage: Bacteria
Description: partial 16S ribosomal RNA
Rfam family: Bacterial small subunit ribosomal RNA
Source: RNAcentral